GCCCUUAUAGCUCAGUGGUAGAGCGCAGCACUUGUAAUGCUGAGGUCGGUGGUUCAAUCCCGUCUGGGGGCA
RNAcentral lists this transfer RNA (72 nucleotides) under Pseudomassariella vexata. It matches the Rfam family "tRNA". Rfam says of the family: Transfer RNA (tRNA) molecules are approximately 80 nucleotides in length. Their secondary structure includes four short double-helical elements and three loops (D, anti-codon, and T loops). Further hydrogen bonds mediate the characteristic L-shaped molecular structure. tRNAs have two regions of fundamental functional importance: the anti-codon, which is responsible for specific mRNA codon recognition, and the 3' end, to which the tRNAs corresponding amino acid is attached (by aminoacyl-tRNA synthetases). tRNAs cope with the degeneracy of the genetic code in two manners: having more than one tRNA (with a specific anti-codon) for a particular amino acid; and 'wobble' base-pairing, i.e. permitting non-standard base-pairing at the 3rd anti-codon position. Lineage: Eukaryota; Fungi; Ascomycota; Sordariomycetes; Amphisphaeriales; Pseudomassariaceae. The record is from Rfam by way of RNAcentral.